CGGCCUCGGCGCCGAACUCCCGUGGAGCGGAGGGAAGCGCGCUAGUUGCCAGGCCCCGUGCGCCAUCGCCGAGGAAGGCCGGACGCCCUGGGCCCGGGUCUCGGCUCACUUUUCUCAGAAGCUCCAGAGCGGGGCAAGGGCACCGAGGUCGCGACAUGGACCCUGGUUUCAGCGCCUGCAGUCCGCCAGCUCUGGCUCGGCUCCGGGCCUCCUCAGGGAGAGCGAGGGAGCGAAAACUCAACCUACGUCCUGGAACUCAGAUCGAGGAAGGGAAGCAAAAGCAAAGGUGUGGUUACACAAGACAACGGUAGACGAACCGUUGCUCUUGGCUAAGUCGGCCUGGGCUUUGCAGCCCCAGAAGCGCGGUACCGUCGGCGCGGGGGCGAGGGCGUGGACAGUCGCCGCCCUCCCCGCGGCGCCGCCGCGCGCUCCAGGGCCCUCCAGCGGCCUGGCCUGCGACCCCGGUUCUCCCCCUAACGCCCGCGCGAGGAAGGCUGCCCGGAGCCAAAGGCGACCUGGGCUGAGGCCGGAGCGAGACAGCGCCACGGGACCCGGGAGCUAGAGGAAGGCGGUGUCUCGGACCCUUCCCUGAAAACGCUCUGGUCCUCCAGGAUUUGCCAAGUCUAAAGCAGCUCCAGGAAGGCUGCGCGAGCUUUCGGAGAAACCCACUGUGGGGCUCACCCCGGUCGGUCUCAAGCCCUCGCCUCCUCCCCUCUUCAGAUCCACCACCCUCCCCGGAUCCCGGGCCGCGCGGGCUGAGCCUGCGGAGCCGUGGAAGUGAGGCUUCAGGCGGAGCGAAGGAGCCCCCUGCUGGCCACACGCGACAGGCGCGGCCACCCACUCCAGGUUCCCUCCGCCCCGCGGGCGCGGCCCCGCCCUGACCCUCCUCGACCCUGGCGCUGGGGGCGUGUUAAAAGAAACAGCAAAACAAAACAGCACCCAAAUCCACUCUCACCUCAUCUACUGCUCGGAGCCCAUGGACUCUGUUUACUUCACCCAACAAUUCAUUGGCAGUCUGCUAUUCAGCACCUACCACGCAUCAGACCCUCAAUGUGCUUGGAAUACUGCAGAGAACAAGAUCAGCCAGGACUCUGCUCCAGUUGCCCUCUUUGAAGUAGCAGGCAAAAGGGAAUCCAUCCCCAUGUUUCACAAUUGCUAAGGUA
This is a long non-coding RNA of Manis javanica (Malayan pangolin), 1163 nucleotides long. RefSeq lists it as uncharacterized. Lineage: Eukaryota; Metazoa; Chordata; Mammalia; Pholidota; Manidae. The record is from RefSeq and is a predicted model, not a curated record.